GAGUUUGAUUCUGGCUCACAACGAACGCUGGCGGCGUGGAUAAGACAUGCAAGUCGGACGAGGAACUCUUAGCUUGCUUUGGGUUCCUAGUGGCGGACGGGUGAGUAACACGUGAGUCACCUGCCCGGAAGAAGGGGAUAGCCCGAGGAAACUCGGAUUAAUACCCUAUGUGGUCGCAAGAUCAAAGGUGCCUUCGGGUGCCGCUUCCGGAUGGGCUCGCGGCCUAUCAGCUUGUUGGUGAGGUAACGGCUCACCAAGGCUACGACGGGUAGCUGGUCUGAGAGGAUGACCAGCCACACUGGAACUGAGACACGGUCCAGACACCUACGGGUGGCAGCAGUCGAGAAUCAUUCACAAUGGGCGAAAGCCUGAUGGUGCGACGCCGCGUGGAGGAUGACGGUCCUAGGAUUGUAAACUCCUGUCAUCAGGGAGUAAAGCUCAGGGGUUAAUAGCCCUUCGAGCCUGAUAGUACCUGAAGAGGAAGGGGCGGCUAACUCCGUGCCAGCAGCCGCGGUAACACGGAGGCCCCGAGCGUUGUUCGGAUUUACUGGGCGUAAAGAGUACGUAGGCGGCUGGGUAAGUCAGAUGUGAAAGCCCGGGGCUCAACCCCGGAAUUGCAUCCGAUACUGCUCGGCUCGAGGAUUGGAGAGGAAGCUGGAAUUCACGGU
RNAcentral lists this ribosomal RNA (668 nucleotides) under uncultured Verrucomicrobiota bacterium. RNAcentral describes it as "bacterial SSU rRNA". It matches the Rfam family "Bacterial small subunit ribosomal RNA", at positions 9 to 674 of the family's 1533-position model. The record is from RNAcentral. Lineage: Bacteria; Pseudomonadati; Verrucomicrobiota.